UGCAAGUCGAGCGGAUGAAGGGAGCUUGCUCUCUGAUUCAGCGGCGGACGGGUGAGUAAUGCCUAGGAAUCUGCCUGAUAGUGGGGGACAACGUUUCGAAAGGAACGCUAAUACCGCAUACGUCCUACGGGAGAAAGCAGGGGACCUUCGGGCCUUGCGCUAUCAGAUGAGCCUAGGUCGGAUUAGCUAGUUGGUGAGGUAAUGGCUCACCAAGGCGACGAUCCGUAACUGGUCUGAGAGGAUGAUCAGUCACACUGGAACUGAGACACGGUCCAGACUCCUACGGGAGGCAGCAGUGGGGAAUAUUGGACAAUGGGCGAAAGCCUGAUCCAGCCAUGCCGCGUGUGUGAAGAAGGUCUUCGGAUUGUAAAGCACUUUAAGUUGGGAGGAAGGGCAUUAACCUAAUACGUUAGUGUUUUGACGUUACCGACAGAAUAAGCACCGGCUAACUUCGUGCCAGCAGCCGCGGUAAUACGAAGGGUGCAAGCGUUAAUCGGAAUUACUGGGCGUAAAGCGCGCGUAGGUGGUUUGUUAAGUUGGAUGUGAAAGCCCCGGGCUCAACCUGGGAACUGCAUCCAAAACUGGCAAGCUAGAGUAUGGCAGAGGGUGGUGGAAUUUCCUGUGUAGCGGUGAAAUGCGUAGAUAUAGGAAGGAACACCAGUGGCGAAGGCGACCACCUGGGCUAAUACUGACACUGAGGUGCGAAAGCGUGGGAGCAAACAGGAUUAGAUACCCUGGUAGUCCACGCCGUAAACGAUGUCGACUAGC
Molecule: ribosomal RNA, 768 nt
Filed under: Pseudomonas sp. Maralbishi13
Lineage: Bacteria; Pseudomonadati; Pseudomonadota; Gammaproteobacteria; Pseudomonadales; Pseudomonadaceae
Description: bacterial SSU rRNA
Rfam family: Bacterial small subunit ribosomal RNA
Source: RNAcentral